This 253-nucleotide ribosomal RNA is filed under the name uncultured bacterium. RNAcentral describes it as "partial 16S ribosomal RNA". It matches the Rfam family "Bacterial small subunit ribosomal RNA", at positions 524 to 776 of the family's 1533-position model. The record is from RNAcentral.
UACAGAGGUGGCAAGCGUUGUUCGGAAUUACUGGGCGUAAAGGGCGCGUAGGCGGCCUUGUAAGUCCUGUGUGAAAUCCCCCGGCUCAACUGGGGAACUGCACAGGAGACUGCUUGGCUUGAGUUCGGGAGAGGGAAGCGGAAUUCCGGGUGUAGCGGUGAAAUGCGUAGAUAUCCGGAGGAACACCGGUGGCGAAGGCGGCUUCCUGGACCGACACUGACGCUGAGGCGCGAAAGCAUGGGGAGCGAACAGG